UUAAAUUGAAGAGUUUGAUCAUGGCUCAGAUUGAACGCUGGCGGCAGGCCUAACACAUGCAAGUCGAACGGUAACAGGAAGUAGCUUGCUGCUUCGCUGACGAGUGGCGGACGGGUGAGUAAUGUCUGGGAAACUGCCUGAUGGAGGGGGAUAA
RNAcentral lists this ribosomal RNA (154 nucleotides) under Salmonella enterica. RNAcentral's name for it is "partial 16S ribosomal RNA". It matches the Rfam family "Bacterial small subunit ribosomal RNA", at positions 1 to 146 of the family's 1533-position model. RNAcentral also lists the same sequence under 1 other name. The record is from RNAcentral. Lineage: Bacteria; Pseudomonadati; Pseudomonadota; Gammaproteobacteria; Enterobacterales; Enterobacteriaceae.